GGAAGGCCACAAAAGAUUCGGGACACGGAUGUGCUACUCCGUAGGGAUUAAUUGAAGCUCCACAACCGGUACUCGGAGGGCAAAAGGAGGUAGAAAAAUGUCAUUGAAUAAGCCGUAAUUAACGUAGAUUGUGUAUAGCAAAUAAGGAGAAAUUCUUUAGCUUAUUUUAUAAAUAAAAUUAUUGUAUGAUGUACGGAUUGGAUGCAGUAAUUGCUAUGUUUUAGUAGUUGCUUUAAAAUCUACUUUUUUAUCGUCUUAGGUGUUUAGUCUCGUUGUAUUUUAUGUUAGCAUGGUUCGGUUA
Molecule: long non-coding RNA, 301 nt
Filed under: Daucus carota (carrot)
Lineage: Eukaryota; Viridiplantae; Streptophyta; Magnoliopsida; Apiales; Apiaceae
Description: long non-coding RNA (DCAR_LNC006717)
Source: RNAcentral